AUAUCAGUCAUGCAUAGCAUAUCAAUAAGCGGAGGAAAAGAAACUAACAAGGAUUCCCUUAGUAACGGCGAGUGAAGCGGGAAGAGCUCAAAUUUGAAAUCUUCAAGGUUUUACCUUGACGAAUUGUAGUUUAAAGAAGUGUUUUCUGUUGGAGUUUUGGUAAAAGGUUCUUUGGAAUAGGACAUCAUAGAGGGUGAGAAUCCCGUAUUUGACCAUUACUUUCCAGCUGUGUGAUACACUUUCAAAGAGUCGGAUUGUUUGGGAAUGCAGUCCAAAAUGGGUGGUAAAUUUCAUCUAAAGCUAAAUAUUGGCGAGAGACCGAUAGCGAACAAGUACCGUGAGGGAAAGAUGAAAAGAACUUUGAAAAGAGAGUUAAACAGUACGUGAAAUUGUCAAAAGGGAAGCGUUUGACACCAGUGUUGUUUUUCCGAAAAUCAAUUACGAAUGUUUUAUUUUUGAGGAGUUAUGACUUCAUCGGCUUGCUCCUUUCUUUAUGAAACUUUCUUAAUGCACUUUUCGGUUAACAAGUCAACAUCAAUUUCUUUUGUUGUAAAAGGGUAUGAGGAAGGUGGCUUUCUUUUCGGAGAAAGUGUUUAUAGCCUUGUGCCUCUGCAAUCGGAGAGAUUGAGGUCUGCAGCGUAGAUCCUUCGGGGUUAGAUACGUUUGUGCUAAGUUAUAGCUUUUCAUAGACAACUUGUUGACUAUGUUAAGUCUUGUAGCUUACUCGCUGACGCUAUUUUACCUACGCUUAGGAUGUUGAUCUCUCACAGUCGAGC
Molecule: ribosomal RNA, 776 nt
Filed under: uncultured Neocallimastigales
Lineage: Eukaryota; Fungi; Neocallimastigomycota; Neocallimastigomycetes; Neocallimastigales
Description: partial large subunit ribosomal RNA
Rfam family: Eukaryotic large subunit ribosomal RNA
Source: RNAcentral